Aegilops tauschii subsp. strangulata is the source of this 426-nucleotide long non-coding RNA. RefSeq lists it as uncharacterized. NCBI's taxonomy places the organism in Eukaryota, Viridiplantae, Streptophyta, Magnoliopsida, Poales, Poaceae. The record is from RefSeq and is a predicted model, not a curated record.
AAGCUUCCUCUCUACGCUCACCCACAGUACCAUAGAAGACAUGGGCGAGGUAAAAUGCCUGUUGCGGGACCGGGCCCGGCAGCGGCUUCUUCUUCGUUGUUUCUCUGGUGGAAGACCCGCGCCUGCGACACCGCGGCAGCGGUGGAGGCUGUCACUUGGCAGCAGCGGCGGCGGCGGCUACAACUCUUCUCCUGGGUACAGCCUGGGUCACCAACGCCUACAACCUGGCACAAGCAUGGCCAUCCACCAACAUGCAAAACAAGUUCAAGACCAAAUAUGUGUUUCUUGCUGUUUACUCAACUGAACCAGAUUUGGGUAUUCAAGUUCCAAGGUUUCUGCUAACAGCAUACAGAUUAAAUUGAAAAGCUGGAUUCAUCUAAAUCAUGGACAGUUCAAAACCAAUUAUUUCCAAACCAAUUAUUUCUA